ACAGCAGUGUUACAGGUGUGGGGAUAAUAUGUAAGACUGCAGUGAAGCGAUGUACCAGAUUAAUCCCUGGCCAAAGAACAGUUCUCCACAGUCACUGUCCACAUGGGUCAGUGGGACCAAGCAGCACUCUGCUAAUGUGGGACUCUGACCAGCAACAUCCAGCAAGACCCAGGCAGCGUUUUCCAUCUCCCAGCUGGAGUUUUUUUGUUUGUCUGUGACGGGAGAGUCAGAUUUUUGUUGAGGCUGGAGGAACAGCCUUACACUUGCAGAGGUUAAUACACGCCACUGAUCCCUGAUGGGAGAAUCAUCACCUCUGCCAACAAAGAAGCCUGGUGGAUAUUUGUUUACAGUCUGAUGAUGGGACAUCAUGCUCUGCAUCUUCAAAGUUUGUCUCUUGCUUAUUAUUGAUACACAGUAAUGUGAAGCAUGCUUAUAUCUAGUAUAACUCGACCAACCUGGUGCUCUUCAUUUAUGGAGGCUGUUGAGUCUGAAUGUUGGAUGUUGUGUAUCUCGUGUUCUCUGGGCUUUGUUGUCCUCAGUCUGUUUGCAGGAUCAGAAAACAAAACCAGGAGACCUGUAAAUGGUUCUUCUCCAAUUGGAUGAUGAUAAGACUGUGACACGGGAUGCCACCUUUAGUCUUGUGAUGAAGCAAAGCUCAGGAAGAAGUGUGAUUAAAUGGUACCCACAUGUGUGCUGCUGAGAAGGAUGUACAGGGGCACCUGCAGCCAAAUCCAAGCCUCCUCAGCAACUUCAGGUCUGUCAGCGUGCUGAGGUCACAGAAACAAGAAAAGCAGCUUCAGACUUCAGAGUGUUGUUUACAGUUUUCUGUCAUCAUGAUCUCCCCUGAAGUUUAUCACUAUUAGGCAAGCAAGCAGAGCAGCAGUUUGUGCUCACAGAUGGAGACGGUGUGGAGAGACGGUGGUGUUUCCUCAGAAGAACAAGCAGAGUCACAAAGGGCACCAGUCUAUCUCACCACCUUGACUUGCUGACUGAUGCUCGUCUGCACUGCACAGAGGAAAUCAGCUGACCGAGGAGUGUUUCUGAGUGAGGGAGAGAGGAGUCAUCAUCCAGGUAAAGUGACGUGGAUCAGUGGAUACUUGUCUCCCCUUUAAAGGAGAUACUCUUAGAGAGAGACGAUCCAAGUCAUCCUUAAAUAUGGGCAGGAUAUCACUAUUGGACUGUCUAACCUGCAGGAGCAGCACUGAAUAACCACCACACAUGAGCAUGUUCCUGCAACAUUCAGCAUCUGAUCUGCCAUCUGUGUGCUUCUGCUUUUGUGUCAAAUGUCAAACAGCUGGAGAGGAAACUACACCAGUGUACUGGGAUGUUUCACCAACACGUGCCAGAUGCUGUUCCUUCAUGGUGACAUCACCAGAGACAGCCCCGCCCACCUCAGGACCUCGCCAUUGAUCAUGAUGAUUAUAAUGAUGACAGCGAGCGGAA
Molecule: long non-coding RNA, 1443 nt
Organism: Oreochromis niloticus (Nile tilapia)
Lineage: Eukaryota; Metazoa; Chordata; Actinopteri; Cichliformes; Cichlidae
Exons: 9
Source: RefSeq, a predicted model, not a curated record